GCGGAAUUCCUAGUGUAGCGGUGAAAUGCGUAGAUAUUAGGAGGAACCCCCAGUGGCGAAGGCGGCUUUCUGGACUGUAACUGACACUGAGGCAUGAAAGCGUGGGUAGCAAACAGGAUUAGAUACCCUGGUAGUCCACGCCGUAAACGAUGGGUACUAGGUGUAGGAGGUAUCGACCCCUUCUGUGCCGUCGUUAACACAAUAAGUACCCCGCCUGGGGAGUACGGUCGCAAGACUAAAACUCAAAGGAAUUGACGGGGGCCCGCACAAGCAGCGGAGCAUGUGGUUUAAUUCGAAGCAACGCGAAGAACCUUACCUAGACUUGACAUCUCCUGAAUUACCCUUAACCGGGGAAGCCCUUCGGGGCAGGAAGACAGGUGGUGCAUGGUUGUCGUCAGCUCGUGUCGUGAGAUGUUGGGUUAAGUCCCGCAACGAGCGCAACCCUUAUUUUUAGUUGCUACCAUUCAGUUGAGCACUCUAAAGAGACUGCCCGGGUUAACCGGGAGGAAGGUGGGGAUGACGUCAAAUCAUCAUGCCCCUUAUGUCUAGGGCUACACACGUGCUACAAUGGUGAGAACAAAGAGACGCGAGACCGCGAGGUGGAGCAAAUCUCAUAAAACUCAUCCCAGUUCGGAUUGCAGGCUGAAACUCGCCUGCAUGAAGCCGGAGUUGCUAGUAAUCGGGAAUCAGCAUGUCGCGGGAAACU
This 706-nucleotide ribosomal RNA is filed under the name uncultured bacterium. Its description in RNAcentral is "bacterial SSU rRNA". It matches the Rfam family "Bacterial small subunit ribosomal RNA", at positions 661 to 1368 of the family's 1533-position model. The record is from RNAcentral.